Long non-coding RNA from Mugil cephalus (flathead mullet), 699 nucleotides. RefSeq lists it as uncharacterized. NCBI's taxonomy places the organism in Eukaryota, Metazoa, Chordata, Actinopteri, Mugiliformes, Mugilidae. The record is from RefSeq and is a predicted model, not a curated record. The transcript is spliced from 4 exons.
CGUUGCCACAGAAAAACUGGACCGUAGCAUGCAAAGUUUAACCACGUUUUACGGACCAGUUGGUGUUAAAUCAAGUUUACUAACCCUCGCCAGACUAAGUUGUAAAUUACAUCACAGCAGAAUCCCUGCGCUCGAAUUACAGCAUGUUGCCUGCAUGUGUGAAUCCAGAGAAAACCUCCACCAUCAGCCAUGGAAACAAUAUAUCAGAGAUUAUCCGAGUGACCUGUCGAGGUGUUUCUGGACCGGCCAGACUCUCUUCACUGAAUGAGAGAUCAUCAUCACCCAGAUGGGAGCCUUUCUUCACUCAGGUCAAACCUUGAAGACAACGAUCCAGCAGCAUCAGGAAAAUCUAGCUAGAGAUUCAGCCUUGUUCCUCAUUGUUCGGGGCACAAACGAGCAACAGUCUUUUUUGACACGGAGCCACAGAUGAAUAAAGACUGGAGCUGACUAGUCACAGGAAAGAGCUUUCUUUUUGGAGGGCUUGGAGCCCAUUAAGAGUUUGUGAGAUAUGAAUGGAUAUGAAUCCUCUCCUUCGACCCCACCAAAAAAAAAAAAAAAAAAAAAAUACAACUGGACACACAGGAGACAAGGAACACCUCUGUGUCUUUUUACCGAGGUUCCCAAGGACAUUUCAAGACACCGGGCUGAUUGACAGGCAGGAAUUACAUAGAGUCAAUAAGGAAGUGGUUCUUUGUUAAU